This is a long non-coding RNA of Cavia porcellus (domestic guinea pig), 4726 nucleotides long. RefSeq lists it as uncharacterized. NCBI's taxonomy places the organism in Eukaryota, Metazoa, Chordata, Mammalia, Rodentia, Caviidae. The transcript has 2 exons. The record is from RefSeq and is a predicted model, not a curated record.
CCGGCGGUCCCGCGCCGGCGCCGUCCAGGAGCGCAUCAGGAAGUAUGUCGUCGUAGGACAGGACGCCCACGGCCCAGCCCCGCUCCCGCCGCAGCCAGUGAGCAAGGACGCGCGCGAAAGUCGACUUUCCUGCUGCGGUCUAAAAUGCGGGCAUUCACCAAUGAUGAUCUUGUCUUGGCUGAAACACCUGAUACCAGCUUCUACAUGGGCAUCAACCAUCAUCCUGUCAACCUUGCUAAACCCCAAUGCAGAGCCCCCUUUCAUCAGGAAGUAGUAAGAAAGAGACUUCACCCUUUUCCUAACAAUACAAAGAUGGGAAAGAAAGGUUCUUGCCUCAGUAGAAAUUAUGGCAGUGGUCUAACGAGGCAGAAGGCCAAAGCGGGACGCCUACCACUUUCUGCUUCUUCCCCAGGGUCCUGUUUGCAUGUGAAGCAAAUGUAAUUGGCUGCUUGCGUGUCAGCAAUGCCUGCCCUAAGCGCCACCCCAGUCGAAAAUUAUAUGUAUAUCCCAUGCCCCACAUUUUCUGGCAUAAAAAGCCAGGCCCUGGCAGUCAUGGAGUUCUCUCCACGUCCUUAGAAUAAAGGCUCUUUUUCACUUUAUAUUAUCUCUUUUAUCAUGCCAAAAACUCUUUCAGUUUUACUCUAUAAGUCCCUGGAAAAGACAGAACCCUUGGCAACUUGCUUGGGUCCCCUUCUGUCUCUGACAGAAGCAUUCUUUCUCUCAAUAAAUAUAUUCUACUCUUCACCUCCAUUGUUCCUAAAAUUCAUUCUUCAGUCUUAGAGAACACAAGCUCGUGGACAUAGUAGGUUGGGAGUUUCAUUCAUAUAUCAAAAGACAAAAGAGGCCUUUAUUGUGGGCAUAGAGAUCUGGAGAAGAGAUGCAAGCACUUUCAGCACAAAGAAGUGAAAGUAUUUUUAUCAGGUUUGGCUGGAAGGGCGAAUUUGAGAGAUGGGCAAAAUAACACAUCAACAGUUGAUUUAAAGGACCAUCUGCAUGCGCAAAACCGGAAACAGGAUUUACUAGGGGCUGUGGUUGAAGCUCUUGGAUGGUUGUGGAGUCUUGGGGUUGGAGAGGACUCCGCACACAAACAAAAAGGGAACAGGAGGUUUAUUUCUGAAACUAGAAGGAAAACAUGGAAGUUACUCUUAGGUAAGUUGCUUCUCUGGGCCCGGUAUCAAGUUGGGCAGAUGUUAUAUUAGGGAUAGCUAAGCCUGUGGUUAGAAGAAUCUAUUACAUUUCAUGGUAACAAAACCAUCAUGUGGAUUUUACUUACAGCUAAUGAUUAAGAAAGCAAAGGAAGCCAGGGACUUAGCUCAGCAGCAUAAGUGCCUGCCUUGCAUGAGGUCAUGAGUUCGAUCCCCAGUACAAAAAAAAAAAACAAGAAAAUGAAAAAGGGGGGAUGUCUUCUUUGCCUUGUAAGUAGUGCCUGGGUGUCAGUCUCCAGGCCCGCUGAUGUCUAGCUUUUUGCACAACAUUGGCUGUGAAUCCCAUAAUGCAAGUCAAGGAUAUGAGCAGUGGUAAAGGGCAGGAAAGUAGCAUUAACAAGCAUGGCUAUGUAGGGACAGACAAAAAAUUUCAAGAUGUCUUCUUAGGACCUAUAGAAGUCUUGGGGUUUUAUAUUGUAUAUGUGCUAGCAAGUGAGCACAUUUGGGGUUUUAUGGAAAAGGAGGAUAAAGUUGGAGGUUCAUACAUCUGUUGGGGGGAGUGUUGGAGUCACGUAUCUGUUGGCACCAUAGGUAAUCCUGGUGAGGGGGCUGGGGAUUUAGCUCAGCGGCAUAAGCACCUGCCUUGCAAGCAGGCAGUCACGAGUUCGAUCCCCGGUACCGAUAAAAAAGAAAAAGACAAAAAAAAAAAAAAAUUUCUGGUAAUCCUGGUGAGACUAUUACUUCAAGACUGGUAUUCCUCAAGGAUAGAUUAUUUCAAAUGAAUCAUUUGAAAUGUGUCUUUGGGAAAAUUAUUUUUAAAAGGAUGUUUAAAAUCUUUUUUGUGUUGUGCUAAUGAUUAAGGAAGCAGCGGAAAGUGGAGAGGUCAUGUCCUCUUUGCUAGGAACCACCUAGAAAAUUACUAUAGUUCACUUCGGCCGUGUGUGAGACAACUGGCACAUGGGACAGCAACCUGGGGAGAUGUACCCUGAAUGUGAACAACACCAUCCAAUAGGGUUCAGCCCAGGAGGAAGAGGGUAGCAGGAGAAAGAGGCCUGCCAUCAGUCCUCUUUCUCCUAGCUCCUCCCACCAUCCUGAUUGCCUUCUUCACCCAUGCCCUUCCACCAUGUUUCAGCCUUGCCACAGUCCUCAAGCAAUAGAGAAGGUUGGCCACGAACAGAAACCUCUGAAAAGGAAUUGAAACCCUGAAAGAGGAAAUAAAUAUUCUCUCUUUUAAAUUGCUCUUCUCAGAAAGUUUGUCACAGUAGUGAAAAGCUGACUACUACAGAAUUACAAAGUCAAAAUAUAAAUGCCUAUGUGUAAUACCAACCAUUCCAGUUUAUACAAUCAUUGUGCAGAUGGAACGUAGCUGUUUUUUGAAAAAGACAAAAGGACUCUACCAUCCACAUUAGGGGAUAUAAGGAGAUUCCCUGGGAUCUGGAAGUAAAUGCUGUUUUCCAUGUAGUUGGGGUGUGUGGGUGUCAGGGUCCUCAGUAUCCUGCCUAUUGAAUCUUUAGAGGCUGAGUAGUAAGGGGAAAGAAGCUGUCUUUGUUUAUUUCUCCUUCAGGUAGGUGGACACUGAGGCAGUAAGCCCUACUUCCCUGAUUGAUAGGCAAUAUGUCUGUAGCUGUUGCAUGAUACAGUGCCCAAAGCUCAAAUACAAGGUGCCAGCAAAGGAGCUACAGAACUUUGGUAAAAAAAAAUGUAGAAAGUAGGGGCUGGGAAUUUAGCUCAGCGGCAUAAGCGCCUGCCUUGCAAGUAGGCAGUCGUGUGUUCGAUCCCUGGUACUGAUAAAAAGGAAAAAGACAAAAAAAAUGUAGAAAGUGAUUUGGUAAGCCUAAACUUACUAAAUUUUGAUUUUGUAACCCCAGGUAGUUGGGACAGCUACUUGAAACAGAAAUGAGGAAAACCCGCUUAUCUGCAUUGGGUAGCUCUGCCUCCCUGUGUUACUUUGCCUUCUCCAUUUACAUCCAUCCACCUUAAGUGCCUUAAGGAAAAAAGCUGAGUGCAGAACGUUGGAAAGCUUUGAGAAGAGAAAGUACGCAGAGCUUUAUUGCUCAGUUGGAUAUUAGUGCCCACAUUUAGACUAACUUGGUCUUUGGAACACUGCCAGUAAUCAUACAGAGUAAUAAAUAAUCCAAAAAGCAUUCCUACCGUCAAUGGAGACAUCCCAGAGCCAAUUUUGCCCUCACAUACAAACCUAUGUCCUAUCCCAGUGAUGCUGUAUGGACAGCAAUAAUUUUCCCAGUAAUGAUGGAUGACAGCAUGUACACACUAUUGCCAACCAGAGAAGCUAAUUGGAGUCAUGGUGUACUAGGUUUUUACCAGAGUUGGUUACAGGCAUGGGACCUGUGCCAUAUUUAUUAUCUUCAGCCCGUCCAGAGGUUAAACUAAUACUGUGAUUCCAGCAUGGUCCUUCACUAUAAACCAUAUUGUUGAUAUAAACUAUCUCGAAGGGCCUAAAGAAUUCUAGAUUUAUACAAAGAUAUGCUUACCUGGAAGGAUAUUCCAGUAGCUUAGAGGUUAUCUCCUAUGAACUGUUAAGAGGCAGCUUUGAGACGCCCAGAUUGUCUGAAUUAACCCUUUCCUGCAUUAUAGUUUUAGGACAAGAAAGCAUCACACAGGUGAUAAUAUUAGUGUGGACAUAGACUCAACUAGUUUAAAACCUUUAUAAGUAUUGCUAUAUUUUUUUUUCAGACAGGCUGUACUAAAAUUUGUAUACAGAUCAACAAUGUUGGUAACCAUGGAUAGGUUAUAAAUGUGGUAGAAGUGAAGAGUGCUAAUAAUAAAAAUAAGGGAAAGGACAGGGUAGGGUGGUCAGUUUUUUCCCCUCUCUUCAGUUGCAGGCUUGGUAUUAAGGCAGGGUGAGAAAGAAUUCCACAGCUUUGGGACCUGCAAGGAAUGGAGGAGGAAAGGAAGGGAAGAAGUAAAAUGCAAGUGGACCUAGCUGGGAGAAAUUAAAUUCCCAUAACUACCUUACUGGGAAGUAUAAUCCUAGGUAGAAGAUAGGUCAUAUAUAAGAAGAAUGUAAUUUAAAAUUAAGAUGAUUUAGAAAGAAAAAGCAAAACUAAAUAAAUAAAGAUGGCCUAAAUAGUUGCUCAAGAAAAUCAAUAAGUAAGUCACUUUCUUCUAAAAUGUUCCUUUCCAAUAUGUACUGGCUCACAUUCUGAUUCUGUUUGAGACAGGGCUGGUUUUAAACUCAUGAGCUCAAAUAAUAUACUCACCCUAGUCUCUCAAGUUGUUGAGAUUUUAGGCAUGUGUCACUAUACCCAGAUGAAAACAGGUUGAAAUAUGCUUGUCAUGGUUUAUGUCAGUGGCCCCAAGCCUCAUGCAGUUAUGUGUUUGUGAUUGGUUCAUUGUCUAGCGUUCAGCUUGGUUGGAGCAGGAUAUGAUGUAAUGGCGGGAAGGUCUCUCUCUCUCUCUCUCUCUCUCUCUCUCUCUCUCUCUCUCUCUCUCAUCAGUUUCCAGCUUGACAUUUGCAGCUGCCAUGAACUGUGGCCCUGUCAUGCCACCCUGCCUUGGAGCCAACUGAGUAUGGACUGAAACCUCCAAGAACUAUAUGAAAUAAACCUUUCCUUCCUUCA